AGCAGCCGCGGUAAUUCCAGCUCCAAUAGCGUAUAUUAAAGUUGUUGCAGUUAAAAGCUCGUAGUUGAACUUCGGGGUUUACUCAUUGGUCAGGCUUAAUUGUCUGUACUGGUGAGAUAAAUCUCUACCUUCUGAGGAACUUUCAUGCCAUUUAUUUGGUGUGAUUGGAAAUCAGGACUGUUACUUUGAAAAAUUAGAGUGUUUAAAGCAGGCUAACGUCUGAAUACAUUAGCAUGGAAUAAUGAAAUAGGACGGAUUGAUUCUAUUUCGUUGGUUUCUAGGGUCACCGUAAUGAUUAAUAGGGAUAGUAGGGGGCAUUAGUAUUCAAUUGUCAGAGGUGAAAUUCUUGGAUUCAUUGAAGACUAACUACUGCGAAAGCAUUUGCCAAGGAUGUUUUCAUUAAUCAAGAACGAAAGUUAGGGGAUACGAAGACGAUCAGAUACCGUCGUAGUCUUAACCAUAAACUAUGACCGACUAGGGAUCGGAUGAUAGUUAAUUUUUUAAUGUACUUCUAUUCGGU
RNAcentral lists this unclassified non-coding RNA (520 nucleotides) under uncultured Diversispora. Its description in RNAcentral is "SSU rRNA". It matches the Rfam family "Eukaryotic small subunit ribosomal RNA", at positions 569 to 1084 of the family's 1831-position model. Lineage: Eukaryota; Fungi; Glomeromycota; Glomeromycetes; Diversisporales; Diversisporaceae. The record is from RNAcentral.